RNAcentral lists this transfer RNA (76 nucleotides) under Caulobacteraceae bacterium. Its description in RNAcentral is "tRNA-OTHER". It matches the Rfam family "tRNA". From Rfam's summary of the family: Transfer RNA (tRNA) molecules are approximately 80 nucleotides in length. The record is from RNAcentral. Lineage: Bacteria; Pseudomonadati; Pseudomonadota; Alphaproteobacteria; Caulobacterales; Caulobacteraceae.
GCGCAGAUAGUUCAAUGGCAGAAUUAUCGUUAUUCCAAACGAUCGACGACGGUUCGAUUCCGAUCUCUGCGCUCCA